This 497-nucleotide ribosomal RNA is filed under the name uncultured bacterium. RNAcentral describes it as "partial 16S ribosomal RNA". It matches the Rfam family "Bacterial small subunit ribosomal RNA", at positions 28 to 507 of the family's 1533-position model. The record is from RNAcentral.
GAUGAACGCUGGCGGCGUGCCUAAUACAUGUAAGUCGAGCGAACAGACGAGGAGCUUGCUCCUCUGACGUUAGCGGCGGACGGGUGAGUAACACGUGGAUACCCUACCUAUAAGACUGGGAUAACUUCGGGACACCGGAGCUAAUACCGGAUAAUCUAUUGAACCGCAUGGUUCAAUAGUGAAAGACGGUUUUGCGGUCACUUAUAGCUGGAUCCGCGCCGCAUUGGCUAGUUGGUAAGGUAACGGCUUUCCAAGGCUACGAUGCGUAGCCGACGUGAGAGAGGGGUCGCCCACCUGGGAACGGGAACAGGGUCAAGGGGCCUACGGGAGGGAGCGGUAUGGAAUCGUCCGCAGUGGGGGGAAGCAUGACGGAGCAAGGCGACGCGAGUGAUGACAGUGUUCGGAGCGUAAAACUGUGUUAUGAGGGAAGAACAGAUGUGUAAGUAGCUGUGCACGGCGUGACGGUACCUAAUCAGAAAGCCACGGCUAACUACGUG